GACGAACGCUGGCGGCGUGCUUAACACAUGCAAGUCGAACGGAAAGGCCCUGCUUUUGUGGGGUGCUCGAGUGGCGAACGGGUGAGUAACACGUGAGUAACCUGCCCUUGACUUUGGGAUAACUUCAGGAAACUGGGGCUAAUACCGGAUAUGAGCUCCUGCUGCAUGGUGGGGGUUGGAAAGUUUCGGCGGUUGGGGAUGGACUCGCGGCUUAUCAGCUUGUUGGUGGGGUAGUGGCUUACCAAGGCUUUGACGGGUAGCCGGCCUGAGAGGGUGACCGGCCACAUUGGGACUGCGAUACGGACCAGAAUCCUACGGGAGGCAGCAGUGGGGAAUAUUGCACAAUGGGCGGACGCCUGAUGCAGCAACGCCGCGUGCGGGAUGACGGCCUUCGGGUUGUAAACCGCUUUCGCCUGUGACGAAGCGUGAGUGACGGUAAUGGGUAAAGAAGCACCGGCUAACUACGUG
This 468-nucleotide ribosomal RNA is filed under the name uncultured bacterium. RNAcentral describes it as "partial 16S ribosomal RNA". It matches the Rfam family "Bacterial small subunit ribosomal RNA", at positions 28 to 507 of the family's 1533-position model. The record is from RNAcentral.